This 425-nucleotide long non-coding RNA is filed under the name Suricata suricatta (meerkat). Its description in RNAcentral is "lncRNA (ENSSSUG00005011961.1)". Lineage: Eukaryota; Metazoa; Chordata; Mammalia; Carnivora; Herpestidae. The record is from RNAcentral.
UCUUGAAGACUGCGGGCAGGUUUGACAGAACCUGUAGGUGUUUUCAGACUCUGAGCUGAUUCAUCCCCUUUGGUUGCUAAUUCUCCCAGCUACCAUACCAUCUCUUCUCUCUGGAUACUGCACAAUUUCUCUUUGUGUGGGGAUAAGAUUCUCAAGACCUGCCCACUCCAUGCAUUCUGUGUCUUUUCUACAUUUUGACUCUGCCAUUGAGUAUGAGAGACACUACAGAAAACUUCUGGUGAUUUGGAUACAGUGGGAGGGAGAGGAAUCAAGAUCAUUUAAUCACCCUGUGCCUCAGUUUCAUCAUCUGUGAUAUGGGAACAGUAGCAAGCUACAUAUCACUCAUGGAAUCAUUGUGAGUAGUAAAUGAGCUCGUACAUUAAAAAAAUUUAAAACAGUGCCUGGCACAUAAGAACUCAGCAAGU